RNAcentral lists this non-coding RNA (75 nucleotides) under human gut metagenome. Its description in RNAcentral is "Cyclic di-GMP-I riboswitch". It matches the Rfam family "c-di-GMP-I riboswitch aptamer", at positions 12 to 83 of the family's 87-position model. Rfam says of the family: GEMM was predicted in a large-scale screen for bacterial structured RNA regulatory elements. Genes associated with GEMM are involved in a diverse array of functions, including chemotaxis regulation, signal transduction, secretion and chitin. The record is from RNAcentral.
GCAAAUCAUCCGAAAGGGUGAGACGCAAAGCUCUGAGUCUAAGGAUGUUUCUUUCAUCUAUGAUCGUCAAGUUGC